UGGUUUUAGGGUUCUCAGUGUUUCAUUGCCAUGGCAAGAAAGUCAAUUUGGACAUAACUUCGCACAGAAAAGGCAUGAACACUCGAGGUAUGGAAGUCACGGCCAACAGACUGGAUCUCAGCGUUCCUUUCCUCUCUUUUGUCCCAGGGGUCUGUCUGUGGCGUCCAUCCAGGUUGAACGCGCAGGAAAGCUUGCUUAAUAUGCAUUUCUGAGCGUCCUGGUGCUGAAGGAAGAAUGAAUCAAUAGAACUCUGGAACAAAAGAAGAAUAGCAAGACAAUUUGGGAUUUCAAGACUCUAAUUAAGAACAAGGCUCGGCGCUGAGAGAGGAGGAGAGGGGCCAACAAGGGCAGAGUAAUGGUCUAAGAGAAACCACGCAGGACACGGCGCUCGUUGUGGCGGACGGGCCAUUAUCUCAUAAGGGCCAUUAUCUUAAUGGGGUGACCGUCUCGAUAUGACAGAUAUCACAGAAGGACUGACACAUAAACAGUUUUUAUAAGAUGAAUUUGCCAGUGUACAAUCUCUGCGGUAAAACACAUUUGACCCAUAGCCGUAUACUGAUGUAUAUAACCUUGUCAAGGUGGGUUACAGUUGCUUUGUGUGUGUAUAUUGUCGAUGUUGAUACAAAACAAAAGUUUACUCACAAAUACAC
Long non-coding RNA from Sinocyclocheilus rhinocerous, 650 nucleotides. RefSeq lists it as uncharacterized. The record is from RefSeq and is a predicted model, not a curated record. The transcript has 4 exons. NCBI's taxonomy places the organism in Eukaryota, Metazoa, Chordata, Actinopteri, Cypriniformes, Cyprinidae.